RNAcentral lists this long non-coding RNA (433 nucleotides) under Mus caroli (Ryukyu mouse). RNAcentral's name for it is "lncRNA (MGP_CAROLIEiJ_G0005670.1)". Lineage: Eukaryota; Metazoa; Chordata; Mammalia; Rodentia; Muridae. The record is from RNAcentral.
AGAAAGCUGGGUAGGAUGUGAGGCUGUGAGAAUGGAAACAUAGGAAGGGAAGAGGGAAGCCGCCAUCUUAGGUAGCUAGUGUUUAUAAAAUGGCCGCUUCUGAGAGAUGUGGGCUGAGUGCCAGCCAGGGUGGUGGGCACGAAGGAGAAUGACAACAGAAGGAAGGGUUUCCCAGCUGACCAAGAACAAACCUGAAUAUCACUAUUAUGGGAUUAGAAAGUGAGGUGGACGCGGGAGGCAGGGGAGAAGAGGGGUCUCCCAGAAGAGUUCUAGGGUUCAGCAUCUAAGCAGGGUGGUAGAAGCCUCAUCCCUGCGUACAGAUCCCAGAGGACUCAAGGCUAUGUCAAAGGUGCAGAAGAAUCGAGUUGGAAAGACCAGCAGGAGACAGUCAGAGUAAGGUUCCUUGAAUGCUUGGUUUAUGUGCCUGGCUGGA